RNAcentral lists this long non-coding RNA (1117 nucleotides) under Homo sapiens (human). RNAcentral's name for it is "non-protein coding lnc-TLX3-2:1". The record is from RNAcentral. Lineage: Eukaryota; Metazoa; Chordata; Mammalia; Primates; Hominidae.
AAUGCUUCGGCAUUAGAGAAGGAGAUUGGUCCAGAACAGUUUCCAGUGAAUGAGCACUAUUUUGGAUUAGUCAGUUUUGGGAAUACCUGCUACUGCAAUUCAGUUCUUCAAGCACUUUAUUUUUGUCGUCCAUUUCGGGAAACAGUUCUUGCAUAGAAGAGUCAACCUAGGAAAAAGGAGAGCCUUCUUACAUGCUUAGCAGAUCUCUUCCAUAGCAUAGCCACUCAGAAGAAAAAGUUGGAGUAAUACCUCCCAAGAAGUUCAUCACAAGAUUACAGAAAGAAGAUGAGCUUUUUGACAACUACAUGCAACAAGAUCCCCCAUGAAUUCUUAAAUUACCUACUAAAUACAAUUGCUGAUAUUUUACAAGAAGAGAGAAAGCAAGAAAAACAAAAUGGCCGCUUACCUAAUGGUAAUAUUAAUAAUGAAAAUAAUAACAGCACCCCAGACCCAAUGCGGGUUCAUGAGAUUUUUCAGGGAACAUUAACUAAUGAAACCAGAUGUCUUACUUGUGAAACUAUGAGCAGCAAAGAUGAAGAUUUUUUAGACCUGUCUGUUGACGUGGAACAAAAUACAUCAAUUACUCACUGCUUAAGGGCUUUCAGCAACACAGAAACCCUAUGCAGUGAGUACAAGUAUUACUGUGAAGAGUGUCGCAGCAAACAGGAAGCACACAAACGGAGGAAAGUUUAAAAACUGCCCAUGAUUCUAGCUCCACACCUGAAGAGAUUUAAAUAUAAGGAUCAACUUCAUCGAUUUACAAAACUCUCUUACCAGGUAGUUUUUCCUUUAAAACUUAGUCUAUUUAACACUUCAGGUGAUGCCACCAAUCCAGACAGAAUGUACAGCCUUGUUGCUGUUGUGGUUCACUGUGGAAGACUUAUUUGUAGACUUGCUUCAUAUGAAAGUGUGGAGGGUGUGUGCAGCCUCAUUGUCAGCAUUGGUCCCAGUCGAGGCCAUUGUAUUGUAAUAGUUAAGAGUCAUGAUUUUUGGUUGUUGUUUGAUGACGACAUUGUAGAAAAAAUAGAUGCACAAGCUAUUGAAGAAGUCUACGGGCUGACAUCAGAUAUCUCAAAGAACUCUGAGUCUGGUUACAUCCUUUUCUAUCAGUCUCGGG